AUGGCUGAUUGUCCGCCGCCGCAGAAGCCACAGGGACACACUCAGUCCUACUCCAUUGAUCCCCACUGGUACAUGGACUCUGUGGCGACAGAGCACCUGACCAGUGAGAUGGGGAAGCUUCACACUCGUGAACCCUACCAUGGCUCCGACAAGAUCCACACCGCCAAUGGAGCAGGUAUGCACAUCUCUCAUAUUGGUCAAGCAUCACUUCUCACUAGACAUGCCAAUAGGAGUCUUCAACUUCGCAAUGUUCUUCGAGUUCCAUCUGUGACACGUAAUCUUCUUUCAGUUCCUAAACUCACUCGUGAUAAUAAUGUGCUUUGUGAAUUUCAUCCUUUUGAUCUUUUUAUUAAGGAUCGGGGCACGAGGGACAUUCUUCUUAGUGGGCGGCUCUGCCAAGGUCUCUAUCGUCUGGAGCAUCCUGGCGUCGCUCGCGUCUUCAGUGGAAUUCGGGUAUCUCCGUCACAGUGGCAUGCUCGUCUUGGUCACCCGGCCACACCUAUUGUCCGGCAUGUUUUGCGUCGUCAUGAGCUUCCUAGUGUGUCUAGUAAUAAAGAUGUAGCAGUGUGUGAUGCUUGUCAGCAGGGGAAGAGUCAUCAACUUCCUUUUUCGGAGUCCAGUCGUGAGGUGAAACAUCCUUUAGAACUUGUGUUUUCAGAUGUAUGGGGUCCUGCUCAGACUUCUGUUAGUGGUCAUAAUUACUAUAUCAGUUUUGUUGAUGCUUACAGCCGCUUUACCUGGCUUUAUCUUAUCAAACGUAAAUCUGAUGUGUUUGACAUUUUUGUUCAGUUCCAAAAACAUGUUGAACGCCUUCUCAAGCACAAAAUUGUUCAUGUUCAGUCGGACUGGGGUGGCGAGUAUCGCAACCUCAACUCCUUCUUUCAGUCGCUUGGGAUCACUCACCGUUUAGCAUGUCCACAUACACAUCAGCAGAAUGGUUCAGUAGAACGUAAGCAUCGUCACAUUGUUGAAGCUGGUCUGACUCUUUUGGCCCAUGCAUCUGUUUCGUUUCGUUUUUGGAGUGAUGCUUUCAUCACUGCAUGUUUUCUCAUCAAUCGUACUCCCACUCGUGUUUUGAAUAUGAAGACUCCCAUUGAAGUUCUCCUUAAUGAACAACCGGACUACACCUUUCUCAAGGUGUUUGGGUGUGCUUGCUGGCCCCAUCUCCGUCCAUAUAACAAGCGUAAGCUCGAGUUUCGUUCCAAGAAGUGUGUUUUUCUUGGUUAUAGCUCUCUUCAUAAAGGAUACAAAUGUCUUCAUGUGCCCACUAAUCGUGUCUACAUCUCUCGGGAUGUUGUGUUUGAUGAGCAUGUUUUUCCCUUUGCCAAACUCCCUGUGUCCACUACCGAGCCACCUGUCAUGCAUUCAUCCUCUGUUGCUUCUGACCAAUUUGAUGAUGUUGCAUAUUCUCCUCUAUUGUUGCCUAACCAUGGUGCAGGCACUGGUCGUGGGGCUCGUUUGGAGAUUCUGGAAGUGCCAUCUUCCUCUUCAUCGCCAUCGCCUUCAUCCUCGGCACCUUCUGUUGUGCAUGAGGAGCACAUGGCGCCCCUGCAUGGCCUCGGUUUCCGUGCUCAUGCACGGCCGAUCGACGCCCUGGCCCGGUCGCCUCUGGCUUCUGGGCUGCCUUCGCCAUCGUCGCGCCCUGCAACCCCGCCGACUGGGCUGGCCUCCUCGGUCCCCGUCUUGCCCAGGGCGUCGGGGCAGUCAUCACCAGGCCUGGCCUCGCCCGCCCCUGCCUCGCCCAGGGUGUCUGGGCCCUUCUCACCAGGGCCGGCCUCGCCUGCUCUCACCUCGCCAAGGCCGUCUGGGCCGGUGUCACCGGAGCUGGCCUCGCCCACUCUCGGUUCGCCCAUGGCCUCUGAGCCCCUGUCGUCGGGCCAGUCUUCGCCAUGCAGCCCGGAGUUGUCUGUCCCGAGCUCGCCUGAGGUGAUUCCUGCAUCUCCGGCGACCAUCACGUCUCCGUCACCUUCGCCUCCGCCGGCUCCUGCUGCUGCUCUACGUCCACAUACGCGCAGUCGGAGUGGCAUUUUUCAGCCUAAGCAACGUCACGAUGGCACAGUUGCUUGGUUAGCGGCGUGCAUGUCUGCUGCUCUCGCAGAUCCAUCCUCUGAGCCACGCACGUAUCAAGUUGCUAUGCGCAUUCCUCAUUGGAGAGAGGCCAUGGAGCAGGAGUAUCAAGCGCUUCUUCGCAAUCAGACAUGGACUCUUGUUCCUCCACAAUCACGGGUAAAUGUCAUUGAUUCCAAAUGGGUUUUCAAAGUGAAGAGGCAUUCUGAUGGGUCCAUUGAGCGCUAUAAGGCUCGUCUGGUUGCUCGUGGUUUUUGA
Molecule: ribosomal RNA, 2325 nt
Filed under: Triticum aestivum (bread wheat)
Lineage: Eukaryota; Viridiplantae; Streptophyta; Magnoliopsida; Poales; Poaceae
Description: partial small subunit ribosomal RNA
Source: RNAcentral